UGGGGAAUAUUGGACAAUGGGGGCAACCCUGAUCCAGCCAUGCCGCGUGAGUGAUGAAGGCCCUAGGGUUGUAAAGCUCUUUCGACGGGGACGAUAAUGACGGUACCCGUAGCAGAAGCCCCGGCUAACUUCGUGCCAGCAGCCGCGGUAAUACGAAGGGGGCUAGCGUUGCUCGGAAUCACUGGGCGUAAAGCGCACGUAGGCGGAUCUUUAAGUCAGGGGUGAAAUCCCAAGGCUCAACCUUGGAACUGCCUUUGAUACUGGGGAUCUCGAGUCCGGAAGAGGUGAGUGGAACUGCGAGUGUAGAGGUGAAAUUCGUAGAUAUUCGCAAGAACACCAGUGGCGAAGGCGGCUCACUGGUCCGGUACUGACGCUGAGGUGCGAAAGCGUGGGGAGCAAAC
RNAcentral lists this ribosomal RNA (401 nucleotides) under uncultured bacterium. RNAcentral describes it as "bacterial SSU rRNA". It matches the Rfam family "Bacterial small subunit ribosomal RNA", at positions 355 to 773 of the family's 1533-position model. The record is from RNAcentral.